RNAcentral lists this ribosomal RNA (757 nucleotides) under uncultured bacterium. RNAcentral's name for it is "bacterial SSU rRNA". It matches the Rfam family "Bacterial small subunit ribosomal RNA", at positions 97 to 840 of the family's 1533-position model. The record is from RNAcentral.
GGCGAACGGGUGAGUAACACGUGGGCAACCUGCCCAAAAGAGGGGGAUAACACUUGGAAACAGGUGCUAAUACCGCAUAACCAUAGUUACCGCAUGGUAACUAUGUAAAAGGUGGCUAUGCUACCGCUUUUGGAUGGGCCCGCGGCGCAUUAGCUAGUUGGUGGGGUAAAGGCUUACCAAGGCAAUGAUGCGUAGCCGAACUGAGAGGUUGAUCGGCCACAUUGGGACUGAGACACGGCCCAAACUCCUACGGGAGGCAGCAGUAGGGAAUCUUCCACAAUGGGCGAAAGCCUGAUGGAGCAACGCCGCGUGGGUGAAGAAGGUCUUCGGAUCGUAAAACCCUGUUGUUAGAGAAGAAAGUGCGUGAGAGUAACUGUUCACGUUUCGACGGUAUCUAACCAGAAAGCCACGGCUAACUACGUGCCAGCAGCCGCGGUAAUACGUAGGUGGCAAGCGUUAUCCGGAUUUAUUGGGCGUAAAGGGAACGCAGGCGGUCUUUUAAGUCUGAUGUGAAAGCCUUCGGCUUAACCGGAGUAGUGCAUUGGAAACUGGGAGACUUGAGUGCAGAAGAGGAGAGUGGAACUCCAUGUGUAGCGGUGAAAUGCGUANAUAUAUGGAAGAACACCAGUGGCGAAAGCGGCUCUCUGGUCUGUAACUGACGCUGAGGUUCGAAAGCGUGGGUAGCAAACAGGAUUAGAUACCCUGGUAGUCCACGCCGUAAACGAUGAAUGCUAAGUGUUGGAGGGUUUCCGCCCUU